Molecule: non-coding RNA, 238 nt
Organism: Pelobates cultripes (western spadefoot toad)
Lineage: Eukaryota; Metazoa; Chordata; Amphibia; Anura; Pelobatidae
Source: the annotation of a GenBank genome assembly
CAGGAAACUGGAUCUUGGGUCCAGGGUGGAUGGAGGACAGCGAGAGCCCAGCCAAGCUGUAACACUGGCUGCGGGGUUUACGGUGGUUAUGGUGUCUGGUGGAGUGCUUGGAGUACUCAGUGAGCACUAGGAAGCAUCGAUUGGUGGAGGCACCCAGUCAGGAUGCCAGGCGGUCCGCCACAACCCGAUCCUUUCUCACCGACAGGUCAAAGGUGGGGUUCCUCAUGCAUCAGCUCAC